GCGGACGUGGCGAAACUGGUAGACGCACUUGGUUUAGGACCAAGCGGGGUAACCCUUGAGAGUUCAAGUCUCUCCGUCCGCACCA
RNAcentral lists this transfer RNA (85 nucleotides) under Candidatus Falkowbacteria bacterium CG1_02_37_21. RNAcentral's name for it is "tRNA-Leu". It matches the Rfam family "tRNA". Rfam says of the family: Transfer RNA (tRNA) molecules are approximately 80 nucleotides in length. The record is from RNAcentral. Lineage: Bacteria; Candidatus Falkowiibacteriota. RNAcentral also lists the same sequence under 2 other names.